RNAcentral lists this ribosomal RNA (472 nucleotides) under uncultured bacterium. RNAcentral describes it as "partial 16S ribosomal RNA". It matches the Rfam family "Bacterial small subunit ribosomal RNA", at positions 29 to 523 of the family's 1533-position model. The record is from RNAcentral.
AGUGAACGCUGGCGGCGUGCCUAACACAUGCAAGUCGAACGAUGAAGUCCUUCGGGAUGGAUUAGUGGCGCACGGGUGAGUAUACCAUAGAUAAUGUACCUCUUAGUUCGGGAUAGCCACUGGAAACGGUGAUUAAUACCGGAUACUCCUUCUUGUCCUAAGGCAAGUCGGGAAAGUUUUUUCGCUAAGAGAUCAGUCUAUGUCCUAUCAGCUAGUUGGUGAGGUAAUGGCUCACCAAGGCUAUGACGGGUAUCUGGUUUGAGAGGAUGAUCAGACACACUGGAACUGAGACACGGUCCAGACUCCUACGGGAGGCAGCAGUGAGGAAUAUUGCACAAUGGAGGAAACUCUGAUGCAGCAACGCCGCGUGGAGGAUGACGCAUUUCGGGGUGUAAACUCCUUUUAAGAGGGAAGAUAAUGACGGUACCUCUUGAAUAAGCACCGGCUAACUCCGUGCCAGCCGCCGCGGUAA